This 5939-nucleotide unclassified non-coding RNA is filed under the name Daphnia pulicaria. Its description in RNAcentral is "rho-associated protein kinase 2-like, transcript variant X1". The record is from RNAcentral. Lineage: Eukaryota; Metazoa; Arthropoda; Branchiopoda; Diplostraca; Daphniidae.
GCACCUACUGGAAAAUGAAUGUAUAGAGUCGAGUCUCGAAGCGAGCACACAACUUCAAGGUUUUUGUGUGUGAACUCAAAGUUAGUCAGUGUGUGUGUGUGUGUUAAAUGUUGAAAUGAAUCUAAUAUUAGAAUGCAGAUAAAUAUGGCGCUUUUGAAAUAGUGCCUUAUUUACCCGCAAUUGUGUGUUGAUUGGGACCAAACACUAAGGACCAAGACCUUGUUUUCUUCCUUGGAAGACCUGUCAUGAUGUGGGGAGUUGGGUGAUGGGAGUUGGCACUUUGAAAAUUGUGUGUGCGGGUGAUUAAUAUCACAAGAAGAAAUAUCGCUGUCGUUCGGUCUUGUGGUUUUGGUGUGUUACCGUGCCUUGUACGUGUCAGGGUGAACUGUAGGCUCGGUCGUCACCGAGUGACUAAAUUUUCGUAUUUCACCCAUUUUUAUUCCACAAUAGACGACACAAAAACCGUUUUCGUUCGAAAUACAAGCCGUUGUUUACCUUCUUCUCUUGGAAAUGCAAUGUCGAAAAGAACAAGAAUGAAUGUUUAGUUGACAUAGAAGCUAGACCUUUUCAUGUUAGUGACUGGAAAGAAGAAAACAACAAUAAGCAACAGUGACACCAUGGAAGCUAUCACAGAUCAGGAUAGAAGGUCUCGUCUCCUCAAACUGGAGGAGAGAGUCUUCAAUCCAAGGGACAUUCUUAAUGCAGACUGCCUUCUUGAUGCUGUGCAAUCGAUGGUGUAUGACAGUGAUCAUCCAACCAUAAAGCGCAUGAAAAACAUAGAGGCUUUCAUCAACCGCUAUGCCAAAGUUGCAGAUGAGAUAAGCAGAUUGAGAGUAAAAGUGGAUGAUUUUUUAGUCAUCAAAGUCAUAGGAAGGGGAGCGUUUGGUCAAGUCCAAUUAGUAAGACAUAAAUCAACCAAGAAAGUUUAUGCUAUGAAACUUCUUAGCAAAUUUGAAAUGAUCAAAAGAUCAGAUUCAGCAUUCUUCUGGGAAGAGCGGGACAUUAUGGCCCAUGCCAAUUCCGAGUGGAUAGUAAGACUUCACUUUGCCUUCCAAGAUACAAAAUAUCUUUAUAUGGUUAUGGACUACAUGCCAGGCGGUGAUUUGGUGAAUCUCAUGUCGAAUUACGAUGUUCCCGAAAAGUGGGCAAAGUUUUACUGUGCCGAAGUGGUUCUAGCCUUGGAGGCUAUUCAUAACAUGGGUUUCGUUCAUCGAGACGUCAAACCAGACAACAUGCUGCUGGAUGCUUUAGGCCACUUGAAGCUAGCUGAUUUUGGCACUUGCAUGAAAAUGGACGAGGAUGGGCUCGUCCGAUCAGACACUGCCGUGGGUACACCAGACUACAUUUCGCCUGAAGUCCUCAAGUCACAAGGAGGAGAAGGAUUGUACGGGCGAGAAUGCGACUGGUGGUCUGUUGGGGUAUUCCUUUACGAAAUGUUGGUAGGAGACACGCCUUUCUAUGCCGAGAGUUUAGUGGGGACCUAUGGCAAGAUUAUGGAUCAUAAAAAUUCCCUUUCGUUCCCCGAUGACGUUGAAAUCAGUUCAGCCGCUAAAAGCUUGAUCUGUUCUUUCCUAACUGACAGGACGCAGCGCUUAGGGCGUAAUGGCGUUGAAGAAAUCCGCCAUCAUCAAUUUUUCGUCCAUGACCAGUGGACCUUUGAUACUAUACGAGACUGUGUCCCCCCGGUGGUACCGGAUCUGAGUGGCGAUGACGACACAAGCAAUUUUGAUGACGUUGAAAAUGACGACGCCCCAGAAGAAAAUUUCCCUGUUCCUAAGGCCUUUGCUGGCAAUCACUUGCCUUUUGUUGGGUUUACGUAUUCGAAAGAUUAUCAACUACUCACGGGAGGUUUAACGCAAGCGAGCACCAACGGUGGAAUAGAUCGUGUUGAUCGGGGAGCAGUGGGUAGAGAUACUGGGGCUCAGCGCAAAGUACUUGACUUGGAGGAGAUUGUGAACAAAGAAAAACGUCAGAUCGCCGAAUUGGAGCACAAGUACACGUUGACGCUACAUCAGCUAGAUCUAGCCACAACUCGAGAGGAGCAGUUGCGUAACGAAAGUUGCGAACUGGAACGGAAUCUUGCUUUGAUCAAGCACGAGCUUAAAGAAGCACAACGGCGAUCGGAAAAUGAUACAGAAAACCGAAAAAAGCUGGAACAGAAUAUCGCUGAGCUCAAACGGAAAUUGGAUGAAGAGCAGAGUCGCCGAACACGCGAUCAAAGCAAUUCACAGGCGGUUGCCGAACGUAUCAGCUCACUUGAAAAACAGUUGAUGGAAGCCAAUGAAAAGCUUAAACAAGAGACCGAUAGCCAUAAUAAAACCAAGAAACAAAAUGCGGAAUUCGCCAUGGGAGCUGCUGGCCGAGAGCACACCUUACUGGAACUGCAAGAUAAGGUGGCGGUGUUACAGCGUGCUCGAGAUGCACUGGAAGCUGAGUCUGCUGCCCUUCAGGCUCAAUUAGACCAAGAGAGAGCUUCUAGACAGCAAGAAGCUGAUCGUCAACAAGAGAUGGAAACUAGACGCCAGGCUUUGAUAACUGAGCUGGAUCGAACCAAAGAGCGCCAGGCAAACAAUCUUGCCGAGAACAAACGUCUGUCUGAGCGGAUCGUUGAAAUGGAGAAACGUUCUGCAUCACUUGAACUCGAACUCAAUGCUAUGACUUCCAAAUAUGAACGAGAGAAACGUGCUCAUCAGGAAACGGAGCAAAGCCGUUCAGGGAACCAAGAGGAAGCCAGUGCUGAAGUGGUUAAAACUCUGCAACUAAAGUUGCAAGAAGAGAAGGCAUCGCGACAAAAAGCGGAAAACCAGUGGCAAGAACGUGAACGUCAGAUUUCAAUGCUUUCGGUAGACUAUCGCCAAAUCCAACAGCAGCUGAAUAAACUAGAAGGAGAUCAUCGGCAGGAAGUUGACAAAACUAAAGGUCUCAUCCUACAACUUGAGCAAGAGUCUCAGAAAAGGUCACUUCUACAGAACGACCAGAGCGUUCUGUCCGCCGAAAUGGCCGUCCUACGUAGUCGUGAGCGCCAGCUACAACGUGAGCUGGAGGCGGCUCGUGACGUGGCCAGGAGUUUGGAGGAAGAACUACAUAAAUUGCGAACCAUCAAGUCCGUUGAUGAUUUGCAGAUGCGGGAACUCCAAGAUCAGUUGGAAGCCGAGCAAUAUUUCUCGACAUUGUACAAGACGCAAGUGACGGAGCUGCGCGAGGAGGCGGACGAAAAGACCAAGCAAGUUGGUGAAUUAGAAGACGAACGAGCAAGCAUCACCCAUCAACUCCAGCUAUCACUUGCUCGGGCGGAUUCUGAAGCCCUAGCGAGAGCAAUUGCCGAGGAGACGGUGGCAGAAAUGGAGAAGGAAAAGACCAUGAAAGAAUUGGAAAUCAAAGAUUUAGUGGCUAGACAUCGAGCUGAAAUCAUCAACAAAGAAGUAGCGCUCAACAGUCUGCGAGAAAGAGAGAAUGAAUUGAAAAAGACGUUCGACCUAGUCACGCAGGAGAACCAAGAUCUUGGUGCGAAAUUGAAAAGCGCACAGGAGGAGCUGGCACAGGCAUCCACGGCUUCUGUGGAUGAGGUAGAGCGGUUGCGGGUGAAGCUAAAGCAGGAGCAGCUGCUUAAGAUGCAAGCUGUCAACAAACUGGCCGAAAUCAUGAACCGUAGGGACAUGAAUCCUAUUGGCCGCAAUCCUAAGAAGAAUGCAGGUGGCGGGGCUGAUUUGCGACGCAAGGAGAAAGAAUGUCGUAAGCUUCAACAAGAGCUCGCCCAGGAAAGGGAGAAGUACAAUCAAGUGGUGGCCAAAUCGCAGAAAGAAACACAGGACCUGCAAUCGUUGCUUUAUGAAGAGAACCAGCUUCGGAUCAAGUUGCAGAUGGAGGUUGACAGCAAAGAUUCCGAAAUCGAGCAACUGUCGCAGAAGUUGGCAUCGGCAUCAGCCGAUACCGUCUCCAACAUAAGCAGUGAAUCGGAAGAAGGAGUUCAGGAUUCUUGGUUGGAAGGUUGGCUUUUUGUUCCUUCGAAGCAGAAUAUCCGACGCCACGGUUGGCGGAAGCAGUACGUUGUCGUCUCGUCCAAGAAAAUCUUCUUUUACAAUUCGGAGAGUGACAAACAAAACGCCGAUCCUGUCCUUAUCCUAGACCUGAACAAAGUUUUCCAUGUUCGGUCUGUUACUCAGGGCGAUGUCAUUCGCGCUGAUGCCAAAGAGAUCCCUCGUAUUUUGCAAAUUCUCUACGCCGGUGAAGGUGAAUCUCGCAAGCCAGACGAGAGCACCCCGCCACCGGAUUUAGUCGGUCGCGAAGAAAAACCUGGAACUGUUAACCACAAAGGUCACGAACUUGUGGCUAUCAGUUUCCACAUGCCAACCACUUGUGAAGUGUGUUCAAAACCUUUGUGGCACAUGUUCCGACCCCCGCCGGCCCUCGAGUGCCGCCGAUGUCGCAUCAAAGUUCACAAAGAACAUCUGGAUAAGCGCGAGGAGAUCAUUGCUCCCUGCAAAGUCCACUACGAUCCUAAUACGGCCAAAGAGAUGCUGUUGCUAGCAGGGACUUUAGAGGAGCAGCAGCAGUGGAUAUCACGGCUGUCGAAAAAGAUUCAGAAAUUCGGCUACAAGGCCAAUUCGGCCGCAAUGGGCGGUGCUGAGGGAGCACGUGUCUCUCCCAGGGAAUCGACUCGAUCGGCUUACCGUCCUUACGUACAGCAAAGAUCGGCUACUUUGCCGCCAAACAGCAUUCAGCCGGGAGUGCGCAACAGCAAAUGAAGGCCUUUCAGAGGUUGCCAAUCACUUUUUUCGUACAUGGUACACCUUUUCUACUAUACAGCAGGCCCGACAUGCGACACACACAAGUGACCUUCAAUGUUGUCUUCAACCCACCUCUUCACACUGUUUUUAUUUUGAAUCUUGAAACAGUUAUAUUUGUCUUGGGCAUCCCCCCAUCACUACCUAAAUGGAAUGCAUGGUGCAUAUGUAAUUACGCAGAAAAUAACAGGACGUAGGAGGAGAGAGAUAAAGGGACUGUGAAAGAUUUAGAUGGAAGGAAAACGUGACGUUACGCCGGGAGUUUUUGUUUCAGAUGAGUUGUUGAGCCCUCCCUUUGAUGCGACAGUUGCGUCAUUUACAUUCCUGAUUCGCCUACGCAUGUGUGUAUGUGAGUGUGUGAAGGAGCUUGGCCAUUUGUUGGUUUGAAAAGAAGUGGGAAAAAGAAAGUAGAGCACCGAUUUAAUAAUAUAGUCAUUGGGAGGGGACACAACGAAGAAGUUAGGGAUGGGCAGUAAUACAAAAUGGAUGCUAAAAAAAGUUACAACGACAAGACGAAAAAAAAAAUUGUGCCUUCUUUGUAUUUGCGUAUUGAAUUGCCUUGAAUUGUUUAUUACUUUAUUCUUCCUUUCCACUAUUGAUUUUUGUUGUGUCCGUCGAAAGGGAAAUCGAGCUUUUUUUUUUGUUUCCGUGCUUAUAAUAAUUCGGGCUGAUUGGGCAAUUCAAUCACACACGUUUCAAUCUAACCCCCCGCCACUUGUUUUUUAAAUUACAUUCGGUGGGGUUUAUUCCUUGGAAAACAAUUCAACAAAAACAUUUGAUGGGACAGCCCCUCAUUGCCUUUAUUACGACGCUGGUCGCGCUAUGAAGCUGUUUUUUUAAACUAACCUUUUUUAAAUCGUUCAACCUGAGUUGGUGGCAAACAAAAGAGACUAGAACGGAAACAAUUGCUUUUUCCUCAUCCCAAAUCUUAAAACAAAACAACAAAAAAACCACACAAAAAAAGAAACGCCUCUUGAUCCCUUUUCCCCCCAAAGCCAUGAUUUGUAUCCUCAUCUUCUAUAGAUAAAAAUCUUGAAAAACAACAAUUUUCACGUGCAACACACUUAAAGAUGUGAGUGUACAGAAUGAAUUGAAUUGCUCUCGUGUGUUUGUGUAAUAUAACUUUUGAUUUCUAAAUUUCAAAUUGAUUGCCUU